This 87-nucleotide transfer RNA is filed under the name Vibrio cholerae. Its description in RNAcentral is "tRNA-Leu". It matches the Rfam family "tRNA". From Rfam's summary of the family: Transfer RNA (tRNA) molecules are approximately 80 nucleotides in length. Their secondary structure includes four short double-helical elements and three loops (D, anti-codon, and T loops). The record is from RNAcentral. Lineage: Bacteria; Pseudomonadati; Pseudomonadota; Gammaproteobacteria; Vibrionales; Vibrionaceae.
GCCCUGGUGGUGAAAUCGGUAGACACAAGGGAUUUAAAAUCCCUCGACUUUCGAGUCAUGCCGGUUCAAGUCCGGCCCGGGGCACCA